CCCUUAGAUGUUCUGGGCCGCACGCGCGCUACACUGAUGCAUUCAACGAGUCUAAAACCUGCUCUGAUAGGGGUGGGUAAUCUUUUGAAUGUGCAUCGUGAUUGGGAUAGAUGAUUGCAAUUUUUCAUCUUCAACGAGGAAUGCCUAGUAAACGCAAGUCAUCAGCUUGCAUUGAUUACGUCCCUGCCCUUUGUACACACCGCCCGUCGCUCCUACCGAUUGAAUGAUCCGAUGAAUUUCAUGGAUUGAGGAUGCAAGUAGGUUAGCCUAUCUUCAUCUUCGAGAAGUGAAGUAAAUCUUAUCAUUUAGAGGAAGGAGAAGUCGUAACA
This 329-nucleotide ribosomal RNA is filed under the name uncultured eukaryote. RNAcentral describes it as "partial 18S ribosomal RNA". It matches the Rfam family "Eukaryotic small subunit ribosomal RNA", at positions 1470 to 1796 of the family's 1831-position model. The record is from RNAcentral.